RNAcentral lists this ribosomal RNA (505 nucleotides) under uncultured bacterium. RNAcentral's name for it is "partial 16S ribosomal RNA". It matches the Rfam family "Bacterial small subunit ribosomal RNA", at positions 28 to 507 of the family's 1533-position model. The record is from RNAcentral.
GACGAACGCUGGCGGCGUGCCUAAUACAUGCAAGUAGAACGCACAGUUUAUACCGUAGCUUGCUACACCAUAGACUGUGAGUUGCGAACGGGUGAGUAACGCGUAGGUAACCUGCCUGGUAGCGGGGGAUAACUAUUGGAAACGAUAGCUAAUACCGCAUAAUAUUGAAUAUUGCAUGAUAAUUGAUUGAAAGAUGCUAUUGCAUCACUACCAGAUGGACCUGCGUUGUAUUAGCUAGUAGGUGAGGUAACGGCUCACCUAGGCGACGAUACAUAGCCGACCUGAGAGGGUGAUCGGCCACACUGGGACUGAGACACGGCCCAGACUCCUACGGGAGGCAGCAGUAGGGAAUCUUCGGCAAUGGACGAAAGUCUGACCGAGCAACGCCGCGUGAGUGAAGAAGGUUUUCGGAUCGUAAAGCUCUGUUGUAAGAGAAGAACGGGUGUGAGAGUGGAAAGUUCACACUGUGACGGUAUCUUACCAGAAAGGGACGGCUAACUACGUG